RNAcentral lists this ribosomal RNA (253 nucleotides) under uncultured bacterium. RNAcentral's name for it is "partial 16S ribosomal RNA". It matches the Rfam family "Bacterial small subunit ribosomal RNA", at positions 524 to 776 of the family's 1533-position model. The record is from RNAcentral.
UACGUAGGGUGCAAGCGUUGUCCGGAAUUAUUGGGCGUAAAGAGCUCGUAGGCGGUCUGUCGCGUCGGCUGUGAAAACUCGGGGCUCAACUCCGAGCUUGCAGUCGAUACGGGCAGGCUAGAGUUCGGCAGGGGAGACUGGAAUUCCUGGUGUAGCGGUGAAAUGCGCAGAUAUCAGGAGGAACACCGGUGGCGAAGGCGGGGCUCGGGGCCGAUACUGACGCUGAGGAGCGAAAGCGUGGGGAGCGAACAGG